RNAcentral lists this ribosomal RNA (310 nucleotides) under uncultured bacterium. Its description in RNAcentral is "bacterial SSU rRNA". It matches the Rfam family "Bacterial small subunit ribosomal RNA", at positions 28 to 334 of the family's 1533-position model. The record is from RNAcentral.
GAUGAACGCUAGCGGCAGGCCUAACACAUGCAAGUCGAACGGUAACAGGAAGAGCUUGCUCUUUGCUGACGAGUGGCGCACGGGUGCGUAACGCGUAUGCAACUUACCCCUAACUGGAGAAUAGCCUUCCGAAAGGAAGAAUAAUACUCCAUAAUACUUCGAAGAGGCAUCUCUUUGUUUUUAAAGCUUCGGCGGUUAGGGAUGGGCAUGCGUCCUAUUAGUUAGUUGGUGAGGUAAAAGCUCACCAAGACUUCGAUAGGUAGGGGCCUGAGAGGGUUAUCCCCCACACUGGUACUGAGACACGGACCAG